CUUAUCAAGAGAGGCGGAGGGAAUAGGCCCUACGAUGCCCGGCAACCUAUGCGCAUGGCAAAGCUAUCGCAAAAGGUGCCACAUCCUACGGAGGAGCAACGGCUCUUUCGAAAGAUGAGG
RNAcentral lists this non-coding RNA (120 nucleotides) under bovine gut metagenome. RNAcentral describes it as "SAM riboswitch (S box leader)". It matches the Rfam family "SAM riboswitch aptamer (S box leader)". From Rfam's summary of the family: The SAM riboswitch is found upstream of a number of genes which code for proteins involved in methionine or cysteine biosynthesis in Gram-positive bacteria. The SAM riboswitch acts at the level of transcription termination control. The record is from RNAcentral.